AUCAAUGAUGAAAAUAGCCAAAUCUGAGCA
This 30-nucleotide non-coding RNA is filed under the name Sus scrofa (pig). Lineage: Eukaryota; Metazoa; Chordata; Mammalia; Artiodactyla; Suidae. The record is from RNAcentral. RNAcentral also lists the same sequence under 2 other names.